GCACUUUUAUUUAUAUUUAACAAUUAUUGUCCAACUAUAGAUUAACUAGGUUCAAAAGAUUCUUCUCGUAAAUUAUAGACAAACUGUAUAAUUAGUUUUUGUUCUCGUCUAUAUUUAGUGUUUCAUGCAUGCGCCAUAUGAUUUGAUGUGACAGAGAAUCUUGAAAAGUUUUGAAUUUCGAGGUGAACUAAACAAAACCCUUGUUUAAUUCACCUAAAAAUUAAAAACCUUUUAAUAUUACUUUUGAAAUUAAAUCUUACCGCAUAUAUAUAAAACAUUGAAUAUAGAUUAAAAUAAAAACUAAUUACAUAAUUUGUCUAUAAAUCGUGAGAUCAAUCUUUUAAACCUAAUUACUUCAUCAUUAAAUAAUAUUUAUUAAAUAAAAAUGAAAAUGCUAAAAUAUCAAAAAAUUCCAAAAACUAGGCCUUAGACUGAGGACGGUGGCAGCACGCAGCAGGUCCCCGACCCUCGCCCGCACGGCUCCACUCCACGCCCACAGUGUGCCGCCGGCCGCUUGCUGGACGUUGGACUCGCUGCAGAUUCCGGCCACCGCUUUGCCGUGGUGGAAGGGAGAUGUCGUCGGUCCCGGCGAGUGCAGUGUCGCUGUGUCGGCAAGUGAGCAUCGGUGAGUGGUGGAGUUCAAUGCAAUGUCGUUUGUAGGCCUCGUCAAAAAAAAAAAAAAAAAGACGUUAGUAGGUGUGGCACCAGUACCUACACCAGCAGCGGUAGCUUGACUUGACCGAGAAAGCUUGUUCACGGGCGAGGAGUGUAAAAACCGAGAAGGAUCGUGUGCGAUCUAGGCAGGCAUGAUGGCACCACGUGGUGUGCUAUGCUGUGCUCCCUCGGAGAGAAGAGCCAGCGCGCGAGCGGCAAGGGGGCAACCGUCAAAAAGGCGUGGCGCGUGGCCCGAUGGCCGAUGCUCCGCCCACGUCGUCGCCUCGUCGGUUUGGCGGUUUCUUUUUUCCUCUCUCUGGGGACUCGGAUGCGCCGCCGCAGGGGUGCAGAGCCGUGCAGUGCCGCAGGCCUGCAUGGUUGCUGUUGCGGGCGUGGCAGUGCAGCGGCGCGGGCAGGCAGGUCGCGACACGCUAGUUAUAGAUUUUUUUAAAGAUUUUUUUGUGAAAUCGAAUCUAAACAUUAAAUAUAAAUACAAAUAAUUAAUUUUAAAGUUUAUCUAUAAUUAGCGAAAUAAUUUUUCUAAAGUUAGUUAGUCGUAAUUAAACAAAAUUUAUAAAAUAUAAUAAAAAAUGUUAUAAAAAAUCAACUAAACAAGGCCCAAGGGUCCCUCCUCUUCGCAUCCAC
Molecule: long non-coding RNA, 1299 nt
Filed under: Sorghum bicolor (sorghum)
Lineage: Eukaryota; Viridiplantae; Streptophyta; Magnoliopsida; Poales; Poaceae
Description: long non-coding RNA (SBIC_LNC018333)
Source: RNAcentral